Schistocerca gregaria is the source of this 152-nucleotide long non-coding RNA. RefSeq lists it as uncharacterized. Lineage: Eukaryota; Metazoa; Arthropoda; Insecta; Orthoptera; Acrididae. The transcript has 3 exons. The record is from RefSeq and is a predicted model, not a curated record.
CAGGAAGGCUGGCGGCCCCAACUUCGCCAUGUAUACAGGGGAAGUUGGUGGUGGUGACAUACUGAAUAUAGUGUGAUUCACUAAACUGAAUCACGGAUUCGUUUGCUCUAAAUUACCAGUACACGCCUAAAUUUACAAGUUGAAAGAGCGGC